This 20-nucleotide small nuclear RNA is filed under the name Arabidopsis thaliana (thale cress). RNAcentral's name for it is "snRNA_16423". The record is from RNAcentral. Lineage: Eukaryota; Viridiplantae; Streptophyta; Magnoliopsida; Brassicales; Brassicaceae.
AUGUCUCGUUUGUUUCACGA